AGCCAGUGAUGUAAGGAUAAUAUUUGCUACUCUUGAUGGGGGUUAUAACCCCCCUCUGAUGAUUAUUUAUCCACCAAGAUCUCUGAGGCU
This is a small nucleolar RNA of Papaver somniferum (opium poppy), 90 nucleotides long. RefSeq annotates it as small nucleolar RNA SNORD24. The transcript has a single exon. NCBI's taxonomy places the organism in Eukaryota, Viridiplantae, Streptophyta, Magnoliopsida, Ranunculales, Papaveraceae. The record is from RefSeq and is a predicted model, not a curated record.